AGUGAACGCGCGUGAUUCCGCAGUGCGUUCUGGCGUGCCGUCGCGACUUCUUGUUUCGUCUGACAGUUGCUGCGGCUGGAAGCGCAUCGCUUCAGCUCGAUCGCGUGUCGUAUUCACCGCGUGUGCGUGGGUAGCAAGAUUUUGACGGCUGGUUCUAAGUGUGUGCGGUUUGUCUCUGCUGUAGCGGCAGCAAGGGCUAUGAGUCUGGCUGCGUGAAGGGAGAAGCGGAGAGGAAAAAGGAAGGACGAAGCCGGGGAGAGGCGAGAGGCUUCCAAGACGGCGCGACGCGCAAGGAAUGCGGCCAGCAUGGCGGUGUCGCAGGUGCUGUGGCGGCUGUCCGCCGCGCCUCUGCUGUUGGCGGCACUGACCGUCGUCCGCGCUGCAGACAUGACGCAGCUCUUCCUGCGGAGCCCUGAGGACGCCGUCGCGCCGCUGGGGGACCGCGUCUCGUUCGACUGCCGGCUGCGCUCGGGGGCGGACCGCAUCCGCUGGAAGCACGCCGGCCGCUUCGUGUCGCACGUGCCGCAGCAGGCGCAGUCGACGUCGUCGUCGUCGGCGCACCCGGCCCCCUCCGGCACCAGCGGCGGCAAGGGCCGCGUGCGGUCCAGCUACCAGGUGCACGUCACCAGCUACGACCAGGCCGGCGACUACCAGUGCGUGGCGUGGUUCGGCGCGGCGGCCCUCGUGUCGACGCCUGCACAGUUGCUGGUGGCCCGGCUGGACCCCUUCCCUGGUGGCGACGGGCCCAGCCAGCAGGUGGAGGUGCACGUGGCCGUGGGUGGAAGUCUGGUACUGCCCUGCCAGCCGCCCCCGAGUGUGCCACCACCCGCGCUGCUCUUCUACCGGGACGAACACCGCCUCCAGCCCAGGAGCGCCGCUGCUCGAGCCGGACCAGGAAGACUGCUCCUUACUUCCCUGAGCGAGUCUGACUCUGGUAACUACACGUGUGAGGCUGUGAAUGACAUCACAGGGCAGCUGGUGAGGUCACCCCGUAUCUUCUCUGUGACUGUCACGAGGGACCCACCGCGCUCAGCGCCCCGCUUCCUGGAUGACCCCAUCCCACUGCGGAGGUACCCUGUCAGGGCAGGUGAUAAUGUGACAUUACCCUGCUGGGCACUCGGACAUCCGACUCCAGUGACGAACUGGUUCCGGGAAGGUAACCACAAAUUGCACCCCACGCGCUCUGCCAUGGUUCCUGGUGGACUGAUGCUGACAGGGACCACACUGGAAGAUACAGGCCGCUACAAGUGCAUCUUGGAAAAUUCGCUAGGUUCUGUCUCGCUGGAAGCACUAGUUGAAGUUUUGGAGCCACCAGUCCUGGUGAGAGGCCCAAAGGUGGAUCGAGUGCAGCAAGGAGACAAUGUUGUUCUCGAGUGCGAGUUUCGAGGGUCUCCACAACCCAACAUCACGUGGGUCUUCAACGGAAACUCUGUGACCAAUGACAGCCACAUCACAGUUAUCAGAGGAAAUCUUGCCAUACAGAAUGCUGACCUAAAGCACGCUGGCAUAUUCCAGUGCUUUGGUCGAAAUGAACUUGGGUCAGUCUUUGGUUCUGCAAUGGUGGAAGUCGCUCCUAAUGCUGUUAGCAUAAAUCCAGAUGACAUCGGAGCAGAUGGCACUGAUAUCGGUGAUGGCAGUGCUGGUGGCAGUUCUGGUAAGAAGUCAGAGGGGCCCCACAAAGGCGCCAAGGACCGCAGAAAGAUCAACCAUGGCCAUGUACGUAUGAUUCCUCCCUCGAGACCACAUGUCACACGCCUCUCAGACACAUCGGUGAUGGUGCGCUGGAAGGUGACCCCGAAUCAUGGUCUGCCCAUCCAGUUCUUCAAAGUCCAGUACAGCCACAAGGGCCACGGGGGUUCGGGAGGUGGUGGCAAGCAUCAGAACUGGAUGACCAACAAUGGGGACAUACCACCCUACAUACACACGUAUGAGGUGGACAACCUGGAGCCCAACCAGACAUACCGGUUUCGCAUUGCUGCUGCCUACUCCAAUGAUGACAAUAAACUGAGCCCCAACCUGCGACACUUCCACCUGAAGUCGGACGUCGGCAUACACCUUCCGGCACCGACGCUCUACAGGACGUCUGCCCUGUCUCCUACGUCCAUCAAACUCUACUGGAAGCAGUCAGAGCCAGCAGAGCUGGAAGGCUUCUACAUUUACUACCGGCCGGCGAGCACGGCUGGCGACUACUUGCACGUCACGGUGGAGGACCCACAGGCAGACACGUUCGAUGUGGAGCACCUGCAGCCCGACACCACCUACGAGGUGAAGCUGCAGGGUUUCGUGAAAGAAGCUGCCUCGGCAUUUAGUGCCAUCCUCACCCAGAAGACUCUGCCUCUGCCCGUGACAGAGCCACCAGUUUCCGGAGCAGACAGCACCGUGGACGGGGCCAACAGUGCACAGGUGCUGGUAAAGACGGUGGAGGCGAGCGGGGCGGGCACCCUCUAUCUCGCCGUCGGGUGCAGCGUGGGCGUGAUCGUCCUCGUGUUGGUGGCAGCUACCGUCGUCUGGCUGCUCUACCGUCGGAAGGUCUCUGCGAGGGCUGGAGAGCGAGGAAACUGCAACUGACCAUCUACCACUGGGAGACUGGUGGCAGUGACGCCGUAUCCCUUCUCCCACUCCAAGGAGAAGAUGGGCAACCAAUGUGAUUGAUGAGAGCCUGAUGGAGGCAGCGCGCAGCCAGAACAACAACUGCGAGGGCGUGGACCCGGCCACGGGGGC
RNAcentral lists this unclassified non-coding RNA (2721 nucleotides) under Schistocerca americana (American grasshopper). RNAcentral's name for it is "interference hedgehog, transcript variant X3". Lineage: Eukaryota; Metazoa; Arthropoda; Insecta; Orthoptera; Acrididae. The record is from RNAcentral.